UGACGCCGGCGGUUGCCUACACAUGCAAGUCGAACGAGGUAGCAAUACCUAGUGGCGGACGGGUGAGGAAUACGUAGGGAUCUGCCUUUAAGUGGGGGAUAACCCGGGGAAACCCGGAUUAAUACCGCAUGAUCUCGCAAGAGCAGAGAGGGGGACCGCAAGGCCUCUCGCUUUUAGAGGAACCUACGUCGGAUUAGCUAGUUGGUGAGGUAAUGGCUCACCAAGGCGACGAUCCGUAACUGGUCUGAGAGGAUGAUCAGUCACACCGGAACUGAGACACGGUCCGGACUCCUACGGGAGGCAGCAGUGGGGAAUAUUGGACAAUGGGCGAAAGCCUGAUCCAGCAAUACCGCGUGUGUGAAGAAGGCCUUCGGGUUGUAAAGCACUUUAAGUUGGGAAGAAAAAGCUUCACCUAAUACGUGGAGCCUUGACGGUACCGACAGAAU
Molecule: ribosomal RNA, 446 nt
Filed under: uncultured bacterium
Lineage: Bacteria
Description: bacterial SSU rRNA
Rfam family: Bacterial small subunit ribosomal RNA
Source: RNAcentral